This 74-nucleotide transfer RNA is filed under the name Treponema sp. Its description in RNAcentral is "tRNA-Arg". It matches the Rfam family "tRNA". From Rfam's summary of the family: Transfer RNA (tRNA) molecules are approximately 80 nucleotides in length. Their secondary structure includes four short double-helical elements and three loops (D, anti-codon, and T loops). Lineage: Bacteria; Pseudomonadati; Spirochaetota; Spirochaetia; Treponematales; Treponemataceae. RNAcentral also lists the same sequence under 1 other name. The record is from RNAcentral.
GGUGCUGUAGCUCAUCUGGAUAGAGCAGCUGCCUUCUAAGCAGCAGGUAGACGGUUCGAGCCCGCCCAGCAUCA